GACGAACGCUGGCGGCGUGCUUAACACAUGCAAGUCGAACGGAAAGGCCCUGCUUUUGUGGGGUGCUCGAGUGGCGAACGGGUGAGUAACACGUGAGUAACCUGCCCUUGACUUUGGGAUAACUUCAGGAAACUGGGGCUAAUACCGGAUAGGGGCUCCUGCUGCAUGGUGGGGGUUGGAAAGUUUCGGCGGUUGGGGAUGGACUCGCGGCUUAUCAGCUUGUUGGUGGGGUAGUGGCUUACCAAGGCUUUGACGGGUAGCCGGCCUGAGAGGGUGACCGGCCACAUUGGGCCUGAGAUACGGCCCAGACUCCUACGGGAGGCAGCAGUGGGGAAUAUUGCACAAUGGGCGGAAGCCUGAUGAAGCAACGCCGCGUGCGGGAUGACGGCCUUCGGGUUGUAAACCGCUUUCGCCUGUGACGAAGCGUGAGUGACGGUAAUGGGUAAAGAAGCACCGGCUAACUACGUG
Molecule: ribosomal RNA, 468 nt
Filed under: uncultured bacterium
Lineage: Bacteria
Description: partial 16S ribosomal RNA
Rfam family: Bacterial small subunit ribosomal RNA
Source: RNAcentral